GUUUUUGAUGCCUGGCAACUGCAUUGGCUAGUCUGCAGUUUUCUUGGGAAGAUGUUUUUAGAAGUGGCUUGUCUUUGCCUCCUUCACGAGAGAGAUGGAAUGGCCUAAGUCCCUCAGAUGGCUUCGUGCUCAAGCUGGUAGCAUCUCCCACAUUCUGUCACCGAUAGACCGAAAGAGAGAGAGGAGAGAGAAACUGAGAACUAACCUGUUGCCCUCUCAGUAUGUUCCGUCUGACUGGAAUUUCUGGGAAUUAUCAUCCCAAUCCAUCAAGAAGGCCCUAAUUAGAGAAAUUUUUGGGAAUCUUAGGAGUUCUCAAUAAGACAAAAUUGUUGUACUGCAUUAAGUGCUUGAAGUACUGAUUAAACGCCCUGCGUGCUCUCUC
Molecule: non-coding RNA, 382 nt
Organism: Pantherophis guttatus
Lineage: Eukaryota; Metazoa; Chordata; Lepidosauria; Squamata; Colubridae
Source: RefSeq, a predicted model, not a curated record